GUGGCUAUGGUGUAAUGGUAGCACUAGGAUCUGUGGAGUCCUCGGAGCGGGUUCAAAUCCCGUUAGCCACC
RNAcentral lists this transfer RNA (71 nucleotides) under bacterium. Its description in RNAcentral is "tRNA-His". It matches the Rfam family "tRNA". From Rfam's summary of the family: Transfer RNA (tRNA) molecules are approximately 80 nucleotides in length. The record is from RNAcentral.